RNAcentral lists this transfer RNA (73 nucleotides) under Promethearchaeota archaeon. RNAcentral's name for it is "Candidatus Lokiarchaeota archaeon (microbial mat metagenome) tRNA-Cys". It matches the Rfam family "tRNA". Rfam says of the family: Transfer RNA (tRNA) molecules are approximately 80 nucleotides in length. Their secondary structure includes four short double-helical elements and three loops (D, anti-codon, and T loops). Lineage: Archaea; Promethearchaeati; Promethearchaeota. The record is from RNAcentral.
GCCGAGGUCGCUUAGCCCGGUCGAGCGUCAGCCUGCAGAGUUGAUAACGGGUGUUCAAAUCCCCCCCUCGGCU